UAACACAUGCAAGUCGAACGAUGAAGCCUUUCGGGGUGGAUUAGUGGCGAACGGGUGAGUAACACGUGGGCAAUCUGCCCUUCACUCUGGGACAAGCCCUGGAAACGGGGUCUAAUACCGGAUAACACUCUGUCCCGCAUGGGACGGGGUUAAAAGCUCCGGCGGUGAAGGAUGAGCCCGCGGCCUAUCAGCUAGUUGGUGGGGUGAUGGCCUACCAAGGCGACGACGGGUAGCCGGCCUGAGAGGGCGACCGGCCACACUGGGACUGAGACACGGCCCAGACUCCUACGGGAGGCAGCAGUGGGGAAUAUUGCACAAUGGGCGAAAGCCUGAUGCAGCGACGCCGCGUGAGGGAUGACGGCCUUCGGGUUGUAAACCUCUUUCAGCAGGGAAGAAGCGAAAGUGACGGUACCUGCAGAAGAAGCGCCGGCUAACUACGUGC
RNAcentral lists this ribosomal RNA (442 nucleotides) under uncultured bacterium. Its description in RNAcentral is "bacterial SSU rRNA". It matches the Rfam family "Bacterial small subunit ribosomal RNA", at positions 49 to 508 of the family's 1533-position model. The record is from RNAcentral.